This 253-nucleotide ribosomal RNA is filed under the name uncultured bacterium. RNAcentral's name for it is "partial 16S ribosomal RNA". It matches the Rfam family "Bacterial small subunit ribosomal RNA", at positions 524 to 776 of the family's 1533-position model. The record is from RNAcentral.
UACGUAGGUGGCAAGCGUUGUCCGGAAUUAUUGGGCGUAAAGCGCUUGUAGGCGGCCUGUCAAGUCGCGUGUGAAAUCCCCUGGCUUAACCAGGGAAGUGCGCGCGAAACUGAAGGGCUUGAGUGCCGGAGAGGGUCGCGGAAUUCCCGGUGUAGAGGUGAAAUUCGUAGAUAUCGGGAGGAACACCAGUGGCGAAGGCGGCGACCUGGACGGACACUGACGCUGAGACGCGAAAGCGUGGGGAGCAAACAGG